AUAUUUAUCUGGCAGGGGAGACACCUUCAUCACAAAAGAGGUUCACCCAAGGCGAGGCUUGGCCAUUACACUCUGGUUGUGCUGACCCCUGCGAAAGAACAAUACAUUAAAUAAAUAACUACGAAAAGAC
This is a small nuclear RNA of Oncorhynchus kisutch (coho salmon), 130 nucleotides long. Its record names the gene U1. It matches the Rfam family "U1 spliceosomal RNA". Rfam says of the family: U1 is a small nuclear RNA (snRNA) component of the spliceosome (involved in pre-mRNA splicing). Its 5' end forms complementary base pairs with the 5' splice junction, thus defining the 5' donor site of an intron. NCBI's taxonomy places the organism in Eukaryota, Metazoa, Chordata, Actinopteri, Salmoniformes, Salmonidae. The record is from Ensembl.